Molecule: non-coding RNA, 114 nt
Filed under: Desulfoscipio gibsoniae
Lineage: Bacteria; Bacillati; Bacillota; Clostridia; Eubacteriales; Desulfallaceae
Also listed under: 1 other name
Description: Desulfotomaculum gibsoniae SAM-I sequence
Rfam family: SAM riboswitch aptamer (S box leader)
About the family: The SAM riboswitch is found upstream of a number of genes which code for proteins involved in methionine or cysteine biosynthesis in Gram-positive bacteria. The SAM riboswitch acts at the level of transcription termination control.
Source: RNAcentral
CUCUUAUCCGGAGUGGUGGAGGGACUGGCCCUAUGAAGCCCGGCAACCAGCUUUUGUUUUUCCUGAAAGUAUGGUGCUAAUUCCUGCAGAAGCAAAGCUUCUGGCAGAUAAGAG